UACGGAGGGUGCAAGCGUUGUUCGGAAUGACUGGGCGUAAAGUGCGCGUAGGUGGAUGUUUAAGUUAGAUGUGAAAUCCCAGGGCUUAACCCUGGAGCUGCAUCUAAUACUGGAGAUCUUGAAUGUUCGAGAGGUUGGUGGAAUUCCAGGUGUAGGAGUGAAAUCCGUAGAUAUCUGGAGGAACAUCGGAGGCGAAGGCGGCCGACUGGCGAAACAUUGACACUGAGGCGCGAAAGCGUGGGGAGCAAACAGG
Molecule: ribosomal RNA, 253 nt
Filed under: uncultured bacterium
Lineage: Bacteria
Description: partial 16S ribosomal RNA
Rfam family: Bacterial small subunit ribosomal RNA
Source: RNAcentral